Pyrgilauda ruficollis (rufous-necked snowfinch) is the source of this 2461-nucleotide long non-coding RNA. RefSeq lists it as uncharacterized. Lineage: Eukaryota; Metazoa; Chordata; Aves; Passeriformes; Passeridae. The transcript has 4 exons. The record is from RefSeq and is a predicted model, not a curated record.
CCGGAGCACAAAUAAAUAAGCACUAAAUUAUUGUAAAAUAUUGUCAAUGCACUAAAGAAACCAGAAUUGAUCUUCAAACAACAUCUUAUUACUUCAGAAGUAUCAAAGUACAUUUAAUUACAUCUUACCUAAAAAAAUCAAGUACAAAAAUGAAAAGAAAAUUAAUAUGUAUUUAUACUGUGUAUAUAGAAACGGCUAAUAAUAUAUGAUUACAGUUAGCCUCUAGCUACUCCUUAGUCCUACACAAUCUCAGGCACAUACCUGACAAUUUCUAAUGAAAUAUAAAAAAAAGCAACAUGACAUUCAGUUUCAAGAUAUUGGUAAAUGUAUUACAUUGGAAUGAACACAGAAUGAUUUCAUUUUAUUUAAAAACCCUGUCAUUUAAAAACAUAGUGCCAUUGUCCACUUAAAAAUAAACAACCCAAACCAAAAAACCCCAUACUAUUUUAUACCAUUUGCUUUAAUUUGUCAAAAGGAGCAAUAAAGUAGACAUACAUUGGCUAAUAUACGUAAACACAUUUUUAGUGCAAGAAUAACAAGACCUGUGACUUUACUGUGCUUUCUUGAAAUCACAGUGCACCUUACACAAAUUGCUACACUAUAAUGUUUAACUUCAGGAGUUUAAAGCAAAAUAAGUGCAUACCAAACAAUUUCAUAUAUACAGUCUCCAUAAGUGUGUGUAUAUAUGUGAUCUGUAUGUAUAUACAGAUUGCAUAUUUAUACAGACUACAGCUUUAAUGACCGUGUGUAACCAAGCACUGUCAUUCACCCUGUGACACAGAAGCUGCUGAGACAAGAGGAGAUGUAGGAGAUGUGUGACAGCAUUGUGAUGGCAGCUCUCGGCAGGACGAUGUGCCUUUUACUCGAGCCAUGGGGUGGGCCAGCAGUCAUGGGACAGGGCAGUGGCUGUGUCCUGCUCUGGCUCUGUCCCUGACCUUUGGAAACUGUUCUGCCUGAGCCUCACGUCCCUCUUCAGUAAAACGGCUCUUGCAAGCAUGAGGUUUACUUCACAUUUCUAAAGUGCUUUGAAGGAUUGCAAGCCAAUUCCAGAAGCAGCCAGGAAGAAGAAACGGCAUAGCCGGGAGAAUGUGUUACGUGGGCUUCUUCUUCAAAACGGCAUGAAAUCAAGAGGGAUUUCCCAACAGCCUUUCAAGGGGUCUGAAAUCUGAAAUCCAGCCCACAGAAACAACAUGAGGAAAUCUGACAUGGCGUGAGCACUGUACUGGUGUGUUUUUUCCUAGGAAGUUCACCACCUGCAGAGGCAACGCUUUUUUUCAAUCAUGUCCAGCAUCGUAUGGUCCCCUUGCAACCACUGCAUGCACGUCACCUAUUGGGGGAGGUGGAUGGAGGAAGAAAAAAAAAGAGGGAAAAAACAUACAAAUAACUGUCUUGGUCAUAGAUUAAAUAUGCUUUUUCUUUGAAAAGUUAACUUACUCUUAUUUGAAACACUCUAAUUUUACGAAUAAAGAUCUCAAUGCCAACAACAGAAACAGAGCUAGUCUUUACUUCUAACUACUUCUUUAAGAAACAAAAGGGUAAUAGAAGAUCCCAGUUUUAACUUCUCCAGAGCACUAAAACCUAAUAAAGAUAAAUGGUUUUGGUAAUCUAGCAAUGGUUGGAUUUUAAAUGGUAGAAUAGAUCUUAAAAAGGCACAUGGAUCUUAACAACAUCCUUAAGUUGUGGAAAUAAAAAAUUCUACACACUGAAACCCACGUUUUAUAUUGCUUUCCAAAUCCAAUCUGUCACAUUAAAAGCAGGGUGUUAACAUUUCUGAGUAUCAAGCUAAAUAUAACUGUUAAAUUUUGUUAAAAUGAUUUAAUGAACUCCAUGCAAAUUAUAUGGAUUAACCUAUCCUACUCUGUGAUAUUUCAUUAACUGGAAGGCACAAGAGUUAAGAAACCCCAUGUUUUCAUGCAUGUGGAAUACUGGAGAAUGUGAUCCUGAUCCAAAAGGGGAGGUUAGCAUAUGUUUAGCUGUAAGUACAUGCCACAGCCCCUCUGAAGCUGAGAAUGUGACUUCAUUUGAGUUCAGCGGGGAGUUCACAAUUGAAAAUGUGUCUUCAGAGGCUUUAGACUGGAAGAGAAAUCACUAAUAAUAAAUUCUUUUGAAAGGGCUCAUUGGUUUUGGACAUCACUGUAUACCUGCAGCUCAGAAAACUUCCUCUGAACACUUACUUUGCAAAUGUGAAGUGAUGUCUUGAAAGUCCCCACAUUUUUUCCCAAGGGUUAAGGAUUUGUGUGUAAGUAAAUGCACACGGUACAUUCACAGGGGCUGUCCAGGUACACCUCUGCUCUUGUAAUGAGAAUGAACAUGUACAGCAAUACUUUGGUACAAUUUGUGUUCGUGAAGGAAAUGUAUAUUUAUUAUUAAGGGUAUUUGAAUACAUUUAAUAAUGCAUAUGCCUUUCAUUCACAAGUCUUAGAAUGCCAAGCAUGGGCAUACACCAAGACCCUAGAACUGG